GCAUAACGCGAAGAACCUUACCAGGUCUUGACAUCCCUCUGACCGGUUCAGAGAUGGACCUUUCCUUCGGGACAGAGGAGACAGGUGGUGCAUGGUUGUCGUCAGCUCGUGUCGUGAGAUGUUGGGUUAAGUCCCGCAACGAGCGCAACCCUUAGUUCUAGUUGCCAGCACGAAAGGUGGGCACCCUAGAGCGACUGCCGGUGACAAAACCGGAGGAAGGCGGGGAGUGACGUCAAAUCAUCAUGCCCCGUUACUGACCUGGGCUACACCACGUACUACAAUGGCCGGUACAGCGGGCAGCGAAGGAGCGAUCCGGAGCCAAUCCUAGAAAAGCCGGUCUCAGUUCGGAUUGCAGGCUGCAACUCGCCU
RNAcentral lists this ribosomal RNA (369 nucleotides) under uncultured bacterium. Its description in RNAcentral is "bacterial SSU rRNA". It matches the Rfam family "Bacterial small subunit ribosomal RNA", at positions 954 to 1317 of the family's 1533-position model. The record is from RNAcentral.